GCUUGGUCCCCAGAGGGAACUGCAUACCCAUCCAUGCCGCACGCUGGACACUGGGGAGGAGCUGUGCUGUGCAGCCCCUGGCCUGGCUUCCUCUCUUCCCUCACCACCUUCUUCUGACCUUCCCCCAGGGAUGAGUGACAGCGUCAAGGACAAAUUUUCCAUCGCGUUUUCCAUUGUGGGCAUGUUCGCCUCCCAUGCGGUGGGGAGCCUCAGCGUGUUCUUCUGUGCGGAGAUCACCCCGACGGUGAUAAGACGCAGACCGAGGCUUCGGGAGGUGAAGCUGGUGGGCGAGGGGCCAGGAUUCUAGCCCAGGCUCAUGGGCUCCGGCACUCCUGCUCCCAGCCACUGCACUCACACCUUUGUGGCAGCAAAAGUCUGUUCUGUAGCUCACUUUGGGCUGGUUCUUUGUAUGUGGGUUUACUCAAGGCUUGAAGGCUAAUGGCUGAUGCCCCGGUCUUGACAAUCAUCUAAUGGAAUAAACAUUAACGAAAACCCUGUACCGGAAGGCAUCUCCUUCCUCGAGAAGUGCACAGACGGCGCCCUACCCAGGUGUGGCGGGCUGGGGCUGGUGCUGGCCAGCGCAGGCUUCGGCAUGCUGACGGCACC
Molecule: small RNA, 606 nt
Filed under: Pongo abelii (Sumatran orangutan)
Lineage: Eukaryota; Metazoa; Chordata; Mammalia; Primates; Hominidae
Description: retained intron
Source: RNAcentral